GGAUGGGGAAAGAAGCCCCGCAAUUUCCCCAUCC
This 34-nucleotide unclassified non-coding RNA is filed under the name synthetic construct. The record is from RNAcentral.